UUUAGAAUAACGCCACUAUAUAAACUCCUUACCGUAUAGACGUAUUUACGUCAAAUUCUCCGGAACUUUAAAUUUUUAUGUCUUGUACAACACAUAAAAUCACUUAUGAUUAAAAAAUAUAAUUACCUGUUAUUGAUAGUGCUGUCUUACUACAACAGACAGUUUAAGUUUACCUCAUUUGAUGUGACUAGGAGCAUACUUGUGAAGAGGUCAACCCUAAAAGGUUCAGACAUUCAGUAAUAAUAAUUGUCAACAGGAUUCCCUUCCUUUGAAGUCUGAAAAAUAAUUGUAUAUGACACUAGACAGAAUAUAAAAUUCACUGCAACGUAAUAUUUGUUACUACAGCCAUAUAAUGUUCAAUUUUUCUUAAUUUCAGGCUCAGAUCAGUCACAAUUACAAAACUAUGCAAUUGUUUAACCAUGUAUAAACUUUUUUAAAGUUCUUCUUGUGGUGAUGAUGACUGAAGUUUCAGGUCCUCUGGCUUUCUUAAUGCAUUGGUCCAGUCUUUCCUUUCCACAUGCAUAUGUGUUCCUUUAAAGAAGCAUUUCCAUUAUCCUCCUUGUUGACUUUACCUGUUGUUUGAUAUGGAAUUCAGUAAAACUGCUCAUACUGUGCCAUACAAAUGGAAUCCAGCAAUCAUCCAAACAUCUUACGGCUGUAGGCAAAAUGGAAAUAAAAAUAAGAAUCACUCAUGUUAAGUUCAAGCCCUAUUUUGACAAUCUGCAAGAAAUCCAUACUCAAAAUUAAAGGCAUAUCCUUGAAUGUCGCCAUAUUUUCAAAGCAUGCUGUGCAUUUCCUGCAGUUUCAACCAGGUACCUAGUUUUAAAAUUAGUGUAAAUGUUUUUAUGUUAUUUAAACUGAUAUGUAUCACAUCUGUACAAUUAUAAACUGGUAAGGCAACACAAUACAUGUGCACCAAAGGGGAAUUGAGGGAAAGCCUUGAAUUGCAUGUCAUUGGUACAAUGGUGGUUAAUCUAGGGCAUCCUUGGACACUAAAUUCAGCAGACAAGCUGCUAGAAUCACUUCAAACAUUAAACAUUUUUCUUUGUAAAUCGAGAAGAGACUAUUCAAAAUUGUACAGAAUGAAACGGACAUCCAAGAAAUGUUUAAUUAUGCUAUUAAUAUUAGUGUAUCUUAGAGAUCUCUGCAUAUAAAUGUUUAUUUUACUUGUUUUGGUCAUUUUGCUGUAUAUUGAACAACAAUGUUACAAAGUGAAUUGCAUUUAUUGUAGAGGAUAAAGCUUAAAAUUUGGUGGUUGGCUUUAAAAAAACAACAGUGAGACGAUGGUGAAAAGAAGGUUCUUUUUGUAGAAGUGUAAUAGAUGAGGACUUUCUUGAUUGUUCAGAAAAAUAAAGGAACUGUUUUCAGAGUGGUUCAUGCAGUCAACUUAUCAUUGCUGCAUUUUGUGAAAUAGCAGGUGCUGCCUACAUUUUGAUGCAAGAAAGAAGUGUAUUUUGUGGAGGCUUCUGAGUGAGGAUCCAUCUUUAUUCUAAAAUUUUGCUAGUAAAAGCAUUGCAUUUCUUACUAUAGUUUUGCAGCAGGUAUUGACAGUUACCAAUAUUCAGUAUGGCAUAAGAUGACUAAGUUUCCUGUGAUUUCCAUAAUAACAUCCCAGGUUUUGUGAGAUUUGAAUUUCUCAUGGUGAAGAAGAUGACAGUGAUAUUCUUAGAAGUGCAACAUCAUCAUUAUCAUUAUCAUAGUUUUGAUUGACAAAGCCUGAAGAUGAUCUGAUAUAGUAAAAUAAACUUGUGUUUAAAGUUCACAGGACAUUGAAACGAUACACAUUCAUGUUCUGAUUGUUCAGUCUUUGAAUCUGGUAUAUGUUUUGGUGCAAUGUCCUGCCACAGAACUCCUUUCUUUAGUUAAUUUUUCAAAAUUCACACCAAAGGAUUGUUGAAUUGUAUUCAGUGUUUCAAGGGUUUUGACUCUUAGUACAUGCUUUGGUUAUGCCAGUUUUAUUGGCAAGAAAUCAAGUUUCAUGCAAAUUUUUAGCAUGUGCUAGAGUACAGUUCCUUACUGCAUCACAGUGUGUAAUAGGCAUUGCUGUAUCAUGAAUAUAAAUAUAACUACAGAAUAGGUUGGUGAAGUGUUGAACUUCAUGGAAAUUUUAUAUAAGUUAAAAAUUGUCUAGUUUUUUUAAGUGUUACACAAGUUAAAAAUUGCCCAGUCUUCUUUUUUAACAUAAUUGUUAUCAUAUUCAUUACAUGAUAGUUCUGCAUCAUAUGUAGAGAUACUCAUUCACUGAAUGUCAUUUGAAACAUACUUUGCAGUACUUAUAAAACAUAAUUUCUCACCAGAUUUUGAAAGAAACUGUAAUAUGUUGCACUGGUCCACCUUUAAAGCAUUGUACACACAUUGACAUGUGUGUAUGUACAUGUUAUACAUACUGUAUUGGUCUGAGCUCAGAAACCCUGUAGGAUGAGUUAUGAAGAGAUGAGCUAGAAUAAGGAAAAGCAAUAGCCAGUCAGCAAGUAAUUGCUUCUUUACUGUAUGCAGCUUUUAUCUACCUUGGAAAUAUUUGACACAAACUGCCUCUGUAAGAAACUUUUGCCCUGUGAUGUGGAAAGGAUCUGCUCUUAGUGAAUUAUAUUUUUGUUUGUAUAUUCUGACAAAUACCAAAGGAAAUCAGUAUAUAGAUUCUGCAAACAGCAAAGGCAGAAUUGGUCAGUACUUUCAUUCUGAGUAGUAGGUACAGCUCCUUCUCCUUGCCACCACCCACAUUCCAGUUUUCGCAUUCCGUGAAGAGUUUUAGAGCUCAAACCCAUGUGUAUUUACAGACCUGUGUAUAUACAUAUACAGAGACUCCUGUAUUUUAAAUAUGUUAUUGCCUACUAUCUUUACUUUAUAUAUAACUUCAUGAAUGUAUAGUACCUUCUGAUGUGUGACUUUCAUUUAUCAAAGAAGGAAGAUUUAGUAAUGAACUUUGAAAUGCAAGAAAAAUUACAUAGUAGUUUUAGCCAUCAACCAUUCAUAAAGUGUAUUUUUAAAAUUGUAUAAAGUAUCAGUCUUAUUUCAUAUUGGUCAGAAAGGCUACUAAUUACACCAAAUUCUGAAUUCACUCUUAACUCUUAAUCUUCAAGUAAAAUUGCAUGUGCACGGCUCUAAUUCUUUGUCUGUAAAAAUAUUAACAGACUUCAAUUACUUUCAUUUAUGGAAUGUGGAUGAAAAAUGUCAUUCAGCAUACAGCAACAGCAAAACAGCUUCUGUCUCAGACCCACUGCACGUGGCAGUAAGAGGGAAAAAAUUGCAAAGAAAUGAUGCUUUAUGAGCAUAACCAAAGUACUUAACAGGUAAUUUGUAAUAUCAUAAAUAUGCAACUGGGAAUAAAUUAAAAUUAUCUCACAAAAUAUCCAUCAGACUGCAGGAUAUUUAAGAUAUUUUACUUGGCAAGAAGAUAUUUGUUAUUUAUGGUUUUAUGUGUUAGGAUCUGGUUCAUCCACCUAUAUGUUUCACUUCCCAAAUCAUUUCAUAAAUUUUGGUUUGGGAGAUUUGUAUUAUAAUUAUUGCCAAAUUAACUGUAUGUCAGUAUUGGUCCAUUGUACAUACACUCCAAACUAGAGUGUACCUUUCUCCUCUUGUUCAUAUAAUGCAUUAUGUUCAAUAAGGAAUAAGGACAGCUCUUCUUCAUGCUUUAUGGUCAUUGUACACUUUACUGAUGUGAUUAAUGUUUCUGCCAAAUGAAUGUAAAAUGGUAGGCUGUGAAAUUCAUUUAUAAUUUAAGUUUAGUGUUCAUUGACAGAAAUUUGGAUCCUCAUGAAAUGUGUUAUAUGAAUUGUUGCACAGAAUUAUGCAAGUUCCAUUUUACAGCAACAGUUUCUCCCACCCAAAUAUUUCUUCCACUGACUACUACAAUUCUACUUUUGCACACAUGGUAAUGUGAUAGUUGGUACUGGUGUUCUGGUAUAUUGAUAUAUUAGCGUCUGGAAUUAGGCAUUUAUUACCUACAUUUGUCUAAGUCAUGAAAAUAAUUUGAAGAGUUGAGAAAUGAGGGUAACAAGUGUGGACAGUAGUUCUAAUAAUUAUUAUUAUGAUAAUUAUAGUAAUAAUAAUAACAACAACAGGCAAAUUAAAUGAUUCAUGGCCACAAUUGAGUUUCAUUACGAGCAGUUGAGUUUGUUUCUGGAGAGAAGAAAGUGAGCAACAAACAUAAAGUUUAAUCCAUCAUUAAUUCAGAAAAGUAAUAUAUGUAUACACACUGAUAUAUUUUAAAACAAAAAAGAACGCUUGUAUUGUUGAUAAUAUUUUAUGCUUGUAGAUUUUGUUUUUAUUGUGUAUUGUUAACAGCUGUUUAUUACUUUGUUAUAUUUUACUGUCUUUUCUUUUAUUGCUUUUACAAGAUUAUGUAUUAUUUAUCUACAUGAUGAUUAUUAUUUAUUCAUUAACCUGUUAAAUUACUAUAGUUUUAUUCAAACAUGUUGGUUAAAAUAUUGACAGGCAUUUUGGUAUUUUAUACUCGUUUAAAGAUAUGAAUGUUUUAUUUUCUGUCAUUCAGAAGUGGAAUCCUCAAAAGCAGAGGUAUCAGGAUCAGACAGGAUGUUUAUUGGCAAAAAGUGUUCAUAUUUGCUUUUGAGGGAGAGUUUGUUUUUUAGUUUUGUAUUACAAUAAAAACAAGGCAGCAUUGCUUUGUUUAUAUUUGUAGAGUGUACAUGCAGUAGAAGAAUUGCUAUAAAAUUGGAAGCCUGCACAAAGCAUGAUAAGGACUCUUGAUAUUCUGGUUGGAAAAUACCAGAAGAUUAGCCAGUUUUUACUUAAAUACAACACCACCAUCAUUCUUAGGUAUGCUUUUAGUAUUGUUUUCUUUUCCAUGUCAUUGUUAUUUUAAUACUGAACAAACACAUGUACUGUUUAUUGAUGUAAUUAAAAUUGCAACUCCUCUCUAAAGGGGUGUGACUUGAAAUGUUAUCUUUAAACAUAUUUAAUAAUAAGUGAAAAAAAAUUUACUUUGGUGUAUAUUAUUGUGAGAUCAUAUGGCCAAAGUUUUUGAAUAAUAUAAUUUGAUGUUCAUAAAACCAGAUUUGCUUAUUAUAUUGGAAUAGACUGUCAUGUGUAUUCUCUGUUCAGAAACCUCUCAUAUUUAGAAUUUGGCCUUAAAACUUAUACUUGGAUAUUCCACAAGUAUAGUUUUAUUUGUUUUACAACACAGAUUUCUAAGAAGAUAAAGUUAAUUUUGCUAUUAAUUCAAUGUACAUUAAAAUUAAGAAGUAUAUAUAACUUCAAGAUAUCUUAUGCUAACAGUGAUUAUACAGUGUUUGGACAUGCACAUCAUUAAACAAGAUUAAAGAGGUGUCUGGCACUCCAAGUGUUUGUUCACAAAGACAGGGAGUUGACCUACACUAGUCUUCUCUGUUGCCUGGACCCCAAACCAUUCCUCCAGCAACCAGCCAUGUCCAUCUCUUGUUCACACCCAUGGAUAUGACCUUGAUAUUCUCAUUGCAGACCAUUGACUAACCAGGUGUAACCCUGAGGUUGUUGAGGAACAAGAACUAUCUGAAAGAAGAGGGUGCAUGACUUCUCUAUUCCAAGUUUGGUUGAAUCUUGCGAAAAUUUUGUUUUCUGACAUUAAAAUUUG
This is a non-coding RNA of Zootermopsis nevadensis, 5569 nucleotides long. NCBI's taxonomy places the organism in Eukaryota, Metazoa, Arthropoda, Insecta, Blattodea, Termopsidae. The record is from RefSeq and is a predicted model, not a curated record.